CGUACACUCCUGCGGGAGGCAGCAGUGGGGAAUAUUGGACAAUGGGCGCAAGCCUGAUCCAGCCAUGCCGCGUGAGUGAUGAAGGCCCUAGGGUUGUAAAGCUCUUUCACCGGAGAAGAUAAUGACGGUAUCCGGAGAAGAAGCCCCGGCUAACUUCGUGCCAGCAGCCGCGGUAAUACGAAGGGGGCUAGCGUUGUUCGGAAUUACUGGGCGUAAAGCGCACGUAGGCGGAUCGAUCAGUCAGGGGUGAAAUCCCAGGGCUCAACCCUGGAACUGCCUUUGAUACUGUCGAUCUGGAGUAUGGAAGAGGUGAGUGGAAUUCCGAGUGUAGAGGUGAAAUUCGUAGAUAUUCGGAGGAACACCAGUGGCGAAGGCGGCUCACUGGUCCAUUACUGACGCUGAGGUGCGAAAGCGUGGGGAGCAAACAGGAUUAGAAACCCUUGUAGUCCCA
Molecule: ribosomal RNA, 451 nt
Filed under: uncultured organism
Description: partial 16S ribosomal RNA
Rfam family: Bacterial small subunit ribosomal RNA
Source: RNAcentral